UUGACCUCGGAUCAGGUAGGAGUACCCGCUGAACUUA
Molecule: ribosomal RNA, 37 nt
Filed under: Coccidioides immitis
Lineage: Eukaryota; Fungi; Ascomycota; Eurotiomycetes; Onygenales; Onygenaceae
Also listed under: 7 other names
Description: partial 28S ribosomal RNA
Source: RNAcentral